GACGAACCGUGCGAACGUUGUUCGGAAUCACUGGGCUUAAAGGGCGCGUAGGCGGAUAUCCAAGUCAGACGUGAAAUCCCUCGGCUUAACCGGGGAACUGCGUCUGAUACUGGAUGGCUUGAGGUUGGGAGAGGGAUGCGGAAUUCCAGGUGUAGCGGUGAAAUGCGUAGAUAUCUGGAGGAACACCGGUGGCGAAGGCGGCAUCCUGGACCAAUUCUGACGCUGAGGAGCGAAAGCCAGGGGAGCAAACGGG
RNAcentral lists this ribosomal RNA (253 nucleotides) under uncultured bacterium. RNAcentral describes it as "partial 16S ribosomal RNA". It matches the Rfam family "Bacterial small subunit ribosomal RNA", at positions 524 to 776 of the family's 1533-position model. The record is from RNAcentral.